This 380-nucleotide ribosomal RNA is filed under the name uncultured eukaryote. RNAcentral describes it as "partial 18S ribosomal RNA". It matches the Rfam family "Eukaryotic small subunit ribosomal RNA", at positions 592 to 976 of the family's 1831-position model. The record is from RNAcentral.
CAAUAGCGUAUAUUAAAGUUGUUGCAGUUAGAACGCUCGUAGUCGGAUUUCGGGGCGGGCCGACCGGUCUGCCGAUGGGUACGCACUGGUCGGCGCGUCCUUCCUUCCGGAGACCGCGCCUACUCUUAACUGAGCGGGGGCGGGAGACGGAUCGUUUACUUUGAAAAAAUCAGAGUGUUUCAAGCAGGCAGCUCGCUCUUGCAUGGAUUAGCAUGGGAUAAUGAAAUAGGACUUUGGUGCUAUUUUGUUGGUUUCGAACACCGAAGUAAUGAUUAACAGGGACAGUCAGGGGCACUCGUAUUCCGCCGAGAGAGGUGAAAUUCUCAGACCAGCGGAAGACGAACUACUGCGAAAGCAUUUGCCAGGGAUGUUUUCACUGA